UUCUUUUAGGCACGCUACUGGUAAGUGUGCCACACCACACCACCAGAUCAAAAAAUAUUAAUAGCGCGGGUAGUAAAUCCUGCGCUACUACUAAGUGAAUAGCUAUAGCGUAGACUAUACAUCCACGCUACUACUAAGCGUGUCCACUGCCUCCACAUGCCAAGCGACCAGAUCAAAAAAAAAACUUCUCACACAAAUCUCACCCCCACCGUACCCCUUGCUCUCGGUCGACCUCCUCUCCCCCACGAUCUCGUCGCCGCCGCCACCACUCAUGGCGGCCGGUUCCGGCGAUCUCCGGCCGCAUGCAACAUGCCCCCAAGCUCCGCCCCGCCCUCCCCUUCGUCCAGAUCCAUGCCUCAAGGUCUGCACCCUUGCCCGCGGCUAGGGAUUCGGGCGCCCCCGUGUUCUUGCCGCCGAGUGCCCAGGUCGGCCCGCUGGCCAACGAGCAGCACCCCGCACAUGCGCGUGCCCAGGCAGACGAGCAGUACGGGGUUUGGCCGCGGACGGAGACGAGUGCAGGCGCGGCAGCAGGAGAAGCUGUGGCGGCGGCGGAUCUGGUGACCGCCGGGUCGGCUCGUCGUUCGUGGCCGGCCGGAGUCGUGGUAAGGCGCUGUCGUCCAUGGAUUCCGGUGGCUAGCUGACGGCCAAUUGCCCUUGGACGCUGCUGGAACUGCUCGUUUCUGAAUUUUCAGUAAUGUGGCUAGCUAUGCCAAGUGCGUUUUCUGAAUUUUCCAGUCCACGCGAUUGUGAUUCUCGUGUCGCUGAUAGCUUGGAGCAGUCGGAUCUGGUCCGUAUACUACUCGUGACUGGGAAGGAAGGAUCGUGUCGCUGAUAGUUCAGUCUUCAGAAUUGGUUGGCGGAGAAGAUUCAUUUUAUUUUUUGAGGAAUUACAAUGAAAAAUUAUGAGUAAGAAUUUACAUAUGAAUUGUCUAACCAGUAUGCGGCCAAAAAACAAUGAAUUUAAAUAUCUUUACAUCCUUUGGCACCCGUGCAGAACUAUUAUACUUGUUGGUCAUAAUAAUUUCCAUGAGCAUAGACCAAGGUGAUAGUUAAUUGGUAAUACUUCUACUUCUUUCACGUAAAACUAGCUCGUGCAACGCACGGGUUGACGACUAGUACCGUACUAAUGCUUCAGGUUCUUUGUGAGUUCCUAGUAGUGGUCUUGGUUCAUUGUUUAAUUCCAGUAUUUGUGAGUUCCUAGUAGUGUUCUAUUUAUAGACCAAGUGGUCCUUUCACUAUUUCUUAGUUGGCUGUGGCUGAUCCCUUUGAAACUUUCUAUUUAUGGAUGAUUGGAACAGUUCCAGUUAUCCUAUGUGCCUGCUCUAACAGGAAAGCAUUUUCCUAAGGAUCAUGUCUAGUAAGUUGUACAAAACUAAUAGGGAACACAUGGACAUGAAGUUGCAGCGGCGACGGCGACGAUAUCGACAUGGGGCUGCGGUGGCGACAAUGACGACGACAUUGACAUCGACGGGGGCUGCGGCGGCGACGACGAUGAUAACGACAUUCUCACGGUGCUGCGGCGGCGGCGACGACGUCGACGACAUCGUCAUGGUGUUGUGGCGGUGGCGACGACGACAUCAACACCUUCAACACGUGCUUGUGGAGGCGCCGACGUCAACGACCUAUACGCGUGGCGUAUAUUAUAUAUAUAAUGUAUUAAUUAUCUAUAUUAGAUAUGUAUGAUUGACUGUAUUCAUAACAUGGAUGUAUUAUGAUAUCCAUGUAUGUCUAAACUGGAAUAGGUAGAUUUUUUUUGAAAUCCUAAUUAGUUACCAGUAGCGCGGGGGUAUUUUGGAUGCUCUACUACUAUUCUAUUACUAGUAGCGUGGGUGUGAAAUAGUAGUAGCGUGGUGCACCAGCGCUACUGGUAUGGCUGGAUAGUAGUAGCGUGGGGUAAAAUAAGCGCUACUGCUAAAAAAUAGCUGUAGCACCGUAACAGUAGCGCGUGUGGCAACGCUACUGGUAGCAAAAAAACCAGUGCUACUCGUAAGCUUUUUCCUAGUAGUGUGAUAUUGUGAGCUCAUUGGAUGAAAAAGAUGAGGAGAAGAGCGAAGAACAAA
This is a long non-coding RNA of Aegilops tauschii subsp. strangulata, 2060 nucleotides long. RefSeq lists it as uncharacterized. The record is from RefSeq and is a predicted model, not a curated record. NCBI's taxonomy places the organism in Eukaryota, Viridiplantae, Streptophyta, Magnoliopsida, Poales, Poaceae.